UCCGACGUAGCAUAACGGUUAAUGCACUCGCCUGAUACGCGAGCGAUUAUUGGUUCGAAUCCAUUCGUCGGGA
This 73-nucleotide transfer RNA is filed under the name Neolewinella agarilytica. RNAcentral's name for it is "Lewinella agarilytica tRNA". It matches the Rfam family "tRNA". From Rfam's summary of the family: Transfer RNA (tRNA) molecules are approximately 80 nucleotides in length. Their secondary structure includes four short double-helical elements and three loops (D, anti-codon, and T loops). Lineage: Bacteria; Pseudomonadati; Bacteroidota; Saprospiria; Saprospirales; Lewinellaceae. The record is from Rfam by way of RNAcentral.